CUAAACGUGAUUAUUUGUCUCAGCCUAAACUUGAUGCAAAUCACCUUCUGGGAGGCAGAUUUGACCUUUGAAAAAUAGAAAGAUGAUUGAAUGUGAAGUCUGGUCCCUAAGGUAACAACAAAUUAUACAACAGCAGAAUGCCCCUGGAAGAAGUGGAAAAUGAGGAAGUUUUGUCUUCAAAGAAGAGGAUAAACUUAGAAGUGUGGUGAUAGACACCAGGGUCCCAGAAGCUAAGAGAUGUCUUUUGGAGUAUGCCACUUUCCCUCAAAGAGUCAGCAGCCAGACAGAAUGAAACCACAAUGUCUGGCCUUAGAAUGUGGACCCAGCAAUCUCACGGUGCUCAUCUGUUUCUUGACUUCCUUUUUCUGUGAGAAGAUAGCAAGGACUUUGCUGACCAUGAGAGAGAUAAGCGGAGGUCAUUGUUUGGAAUCCUUUUGCUAUGAUUUUCUAACAUAUUGGGCUUAUAAAACCCUAAGUGUGUUUUUGCCCCAAGUACUUUUCUUAUUUUUUAAACCCAUAUGUAUUUUGAAGUCAAUUUAAUCCAUAUGUUUCUGAUUAAUUUAUGCUUAGCUCAUCAAAAUGUUGUUUUAAGAAGAAGGCUUAUUAAAAAAACAGAGUCAUGCUUCACCAGCCACUGAUGAAAUCAACUCCAGAAGACUGUGCCUUAGUCACAAAAUCAGAUGGGCUAAGGGUACAAGGGGACAAUGGGUUCCAAAGUUGGGAAACUCACUGUUGUGAUCUUAGGAAGACUAUGUUCAAAUACUUGGGCAGGUGGGGAGGGGGAGCUUAGAUUUUGGAGUCUGGAGUGUAUUUAGUUUUCAUUUCUGGAUGUAUUUAUUUGUUCCUUGUAUUAACUAUGAUCCCUAUACUUAGUUGUUCAGAAAGCUUCCAGGUUGUUCAUAAAACUAUUAAUAAGUAGGAGGAAGCUGGGAUAUGGUAUAAAAUGAGGAGUCUAUUUCUAUAUGUGAUUGUGUUUUUGUCAGUUGAAAGGCAUCUCUGUAGAAUGGUUCAUGGGAAUUUUAAGAGACAAUGUAUAUAUUUUACCUACUUGGGCCAUAAAGAUGGAAUUAUGGUGUAUGGAUCAUAAAGAUAGAAUUAUGAUGUAUGUCUCUGUCACUAUAUUGAGAAUUGGAAACAAAAUGGUUUUCAAAAUAAUUCAUUGUUUGAGAUAACCUGUAUCUUAGAAAAAUCCUAAAAGGUAAUAAAUAUGGGGGCUUUAUUCCAGAGUUGAAAUUUAGAUAACUUUUUUUUCUUAAUAUCAGAACAGUUUCAUGGAAGUCUUAAACAAGUUUCAAUAAAAUUAAAUUUUGUCUACUUUAUUUGAAUGUUCCUUCAACAUCACUCACUAAUAGAUUAAAAUCAGCAACCCUACCUCUCUGAUCUAUAGAUAUAAUUUUGUCUGCUUUCUCCCUCAAUGUUGGUUUCAGCCUUAUUUUUCUGUUCUUUUUAUUUCUCACAUACUCUUUGAGUGAUCUUAGCCACUCCAAGUUUCGAUGGCCAUCCAUGAACUAAUGACAUCUAAAUUAUAUUCAGACUUUAGUCUUCUCUCUUAUGUUCUAGACUUGUGUAUCCAAAUGCUUCUAGUUAAAAGUCCAGUGGAAUAAAAAAGGUGAACACGCCCCAAACAAAACUGAACUUCAUUUCUCAAAUUCCUCUUUCUCUUCCCCUGCCUUGUCCUAUAAUCCCUGUUGUGAUUCC
This 1698-nucleotide long non-coding RNA is filed under the name Homo sapiens (human). RNAcentral's name for it is "HSALNT0264380". The record is from RNAcentral. Lineage: Eukaryota; Metazoa; Chordata; Mammalia; Primates; Hominidae.